RNAcentral lists this ribosomal RNA (253 nucleotides) under uncultured bacterium. RNAcentral's name for it is "partial 16S ribosomal RNA". It matches the Rfam family "Bacterial small subunit ribosomal RNA", at positions 524 to 776 of the family's 1533-position model. The record is from RNAcentral.
CACGUAGGGCGCAAGCGUUGUCCGGAAUUAUUGGGCGUAAAGAGCUCGUAGGUGGUUUGCUGCGUCCGCUGUGAAAACCCAAGGCUUAACCUUGGGCUUGCAGUGGAUACGGGCAGACUAGAGGUAGGUAGGGGAGAGUGGAAUUCCCGGUGUAGCGGUGAAAUGCGCAGAUAUCGGGAGGAACACCGGUGGCGAAGGCGGUUCUCUGGGCCUUACCUGACACUGAGGAGCGAAAGCGUGGGGAGCGAACAGG